ACAGAUCUAUUUCAAUUACGAAAUGAAAGAAAAUAAUAUUUAUACGAAACCGCGGAAAACCAAAACUAAUAUCAGAAAAGCACAGAUCAAAUCCAGUUACAAAAUGCAAAAAUAACAGAGUACCAUGUUUGUGAAUUUCAAUUCAUCCUAUUCCAUUAUAUUAUACUAUAAGCAUCCAUUAUAUUAUACUAUAAGCAGGGUAAUCCUUAGAUGGAAGUAUAUGUACUAUAUGUGUACUCACAUAAUGGAAAAAAUAAAUCAUUAACAUAAUUAAUCGAGGCUGCAACAGCAAUCUCCUUUUCUCUUUAAAUUUUAGUUCUUUUUAUGCGAUUCCACUAAACUAUCACCUUGAAUUUUGCAGUUUUUUCCCCACUAUAUAUAUUACUCCUCAUCACAGCCAGUGUUUGUCACUCACCUCCAACAAUAUAUAUGUCUCAGCGCUAAUACAAAAUCAAAAACACGAAACAACUUACACGAAUAAUGAUGAAAAUAUCAUAUUAAUCAACAAAAUCUGAAAGAACAAACCUAAAAAAUUGAGAGCCAAUUAACCAAAGAUGACCUGGAAAACAAAAAAAAAAUUUCGGAUGNUUUUUUAUGAAUCAAAUUUGACGAUAUUUAAAAAAGAAUUACUAAAAAAAGAGAAGAAAAAUAAUGAAAGAGAGAAGGAAAAAGGAUGGAAAAUAUGUAGGGAAACAACUCCUUUUUACUCCCUCCGUCCGCCAAAAGUAGACCACUUUGGUUGGGCACGAGAUUUAUAAAAUUGGUGAUGAUUUUGAUGUAGUGGAGAAAGGGUCCCACCACUUUAUGAGAUGUGUGGUUGAGAUUGAAUUUGAGGUGGGUUUUUUUUGUAAAUAAAGAGUGUUUGUAAGGAUAAAAGAUUAAAGUGGGUGGUGGGACCAUUUCCAUAAGAGGAAAGUGGUCUACUCUUUGCGGACGCUUAAUAUAGUAAAAGUGUCUACUUAUUACAUAGAUUAUUGCCCCUUGCCUAAUUUCCAAAUUAUCUACUCUAACAACAAAAUUAAUCCAAACUAUUAUCUUUAUUACGUUCUUUUGUAAAGAACAACUUGUCAUUCUUUUUUGCUUGCGCUAAUUUUUGCUCACAAAUUGAAAAUAUUGGACGCAGAAAAUCAAUUUGAAGAGAAUUAAAAUUAAAAAUUUUCAACACAAAAAGUGUUUAAAAACUCAAUAUAAUAAAAAUAUAAAGUAUAUAAUAAAAGUGCUACAAGAAAUUUUAGAUGAAGUUAUAAAGCUAGAAGCUACUUAACUUUUUAAACAAAUCCAAACAUGACCAGAUACCACAAACAUAAUCAUGGUUUGAUUACAUUUUGAUGAACAUAACACGGCUUAAUUUUUUCAGUGAAAGAAAUAACUAUCCAAGCCGAAUAUUUCCAUAGAUAGAUCAGAUGGUCUUUCUUCUUGAAGUUUAUUACUGCUCUUUUGAUUAGUUAUCUAAUGGAUAUCCAAUAUCCAUGUAAUAUUUGCGCACUGCUUUUCUGUACUCUGCAAUCAGAAUUUGUAAAAGCCACGUUUUCCAAUACCACGCACCAUUGGAUCGAGUUCAAGAAAAAAAUGCAAAUUCUACGAACUUCUUGGUUCUUCCAGAGCAAAGCAGUAGACACAUUGAGAGGGCUCUGAGUAUUGGGUUCUGCUCAUUACAACGCGAGCAUAAGAAAAACUAUUACAUAAAUACAUACAAAAGAGCUCCUAAUAGUGAGACAAAAGAGCUCCUAAUAGCUCAUAAAUACAUACAAAAGAGCCAGUAGAAAAAGUGAGACAACAACGCCAUCUGACCUCCUAAUAGGCUCUGGAUGGACAAGAGAAUCGUUCUGCAAUCAUAUGCUGAACACCACUUAUCCUGCAACAACAAAAUUCAAGUCAUAAAAGUUGGGAUGAAGCAAAAGAAUCUGAAAUAUUUUGACAUGGAUGCAGAAAAGCAAAUGAGAAGGUGAGAAUGACAAUACAAGGCUAAUUACUUGAAGAAUGCCCAAACAAAUAUUCCCAAAUUGGUCGACAUUUGAAUGGAAGCAUCAAGCAUGUAGUCUCAAACGUGACUUGAGAAAGGCUAAUCUAGAUUCUAGUGGAAAGCACAACCAAAGUUUGUAAGACGGACCGUCAUGGUUCAUUUGCCGCCUUAAAUUCUGCAAGUCCACGUAAAUAUGCUCCCCCUGUCAGGAAAGGCAGAUGCUCCCAGAUCUCCACCACUCAUCUAUGUUACUCCUAUAAAUCAGAGACACCAUUUAAAUACUGUAAAAAACAACUAACCGAGCACCACUAUGUCUUCUUGACAUUACAGAUUGUUAAACAUCAACUCAUGAAGAAAUGAGUGCAACACAUCAACUCCACUGCCUUACCUCAAGUAAGGCCAAUACUUUUUCAUUCCAAACGAUACGCAAUCGAAUAUAUUUGGGAUUAUAUUUGUUACAUAAAAUAUAAAGCACAGAUCUAAACGGUGCAAUAAUAUCAAGAAAAAGCACAGAUCUAAUUCAAUUACGAAAUGAAAGAAAAUAAUAUUUAUACGAAACCACGAAAAACCAAAACUAAUAUCAGAAAAACACAGAUCAAAUCCAAUUACAAAAUGCAAAAAUAACAGAGUACCAUGUUUGUGAAUUUCAAUUCAUCCUAUUCCAUUAUAUUAUACUAUAAGCAGGGUAAUCCUAUAAGCAUCAUUAUAUUCCAUUAUGUUAUUCCAUCAUAAUAUCUAUUCCAUUAUAUUCAUACUAUAAGUAUCCAUUAUAUUAUACUAUAAGCAGGGUAAUCCUUAGAUGGAAGUAUAUGUACUAUAUGCGUACUCACAUAAUGGAAAAAAUAAAUCAUUAACAUAAUUAAUCGAGGCUGCAACAGCAAUAUCCUUUUCUCUUUAAAUUUUAGUUCUUUUUAUGCGAUUCCACUCAACUAUCACCUCGAAUUUUGCAGUUUUUUCCCUACUAUAUAUAUAUCAGCCAGUGUUUGUCACUCACCUCCAACAAUAUAUAUUUCUCAGCACUAAUACAAAAUCAAAAACACGAAACAACUUACAUGAAUAAUGAUGAAAAUAUCAUAUUAAUCAACAAAAUCUGAAAGAACAAACCUCAAAAAUUGAGAGCCAAUUAACCAAAGAUGACCUGGAAAACAAAAAAAAGAAUUUCGGAUGGUAUGCGUGGAAACCAUUUCCCAAAAAUUUAUAGUUGAAAAGACAGGGUAUAAUUAACGAUUGAGAAGCUUAUGUUAGACUUUUUACCUUCAUUGGGGGCAUUAAUCAAUGAGAAUCAAGAGGUGAUUGAGGUAGAGUUCAUGGAAACGAUUAAGGAGAAUGGAGAAUCGAGAGGCAAAUGACAGAGAUCUUGUGAGAAGCCAGCCACCAUCAUAAUAGAAACAUUGAUUUGGAGAUGGUAAGGACCUGAUUAUUGAAUUCCAUUGAUUAUGGUGAAACGCUUUCCAUUGAUUGUGGUGAAACACAACUGAGAUUUGAGUGAGGGGAUUAUAAUGGAAAUGUUGAAGAAGAUAUUAAGGAAUUUUGAGGA
RNAcentral lists this long non-coding RNA (3500 nucleotides) under Salvia miltiorrhiza (redroot sage). RNAcentral's name for it is "long non-coding RNA (SMIL_LNC006423)". The record is from RNAcentral. Lineage: Eukaryota; Viridiplantae; Streptophyta; Magnoliopsida; Lamiales; Lamiaceae.